AGAAGAGUCAAAAUAGCAGAAACAGGUAUGUACUGGGUAAUUGGGAUGUGCUGAAUGGUUACCAGGUAUGUAUUGGGUAAUUAGGAUCUGUUGAAUGGUAAACAGGUAAGCACUGGGUAAUUAGGAUCUGUUGAAUGGUAAACAGGUGUGUAUUGGGUAAUUAGAAUCUAUUGAAUGGUAAACAGGUAAGUACUGGGUAUUUGGGGUCUGUUGAAUGGUAAACAGGUAUGUAAUGGGUAAUUAGGAUCUGUUGAACCUAAACAGGUAUGUACUGGGUUAUUAUGAUUUGUUGAAUGGAAAACAGGUAUGUACUUGGUAAUUAGCAUUGUUAAAUGGUAAACAGGUAUGUAAUAAGUAAUUAGGAUCUGCUGUAUGGUAAACAGGAUUGUACUGGGUAAUUAGGAUCUGUUGAAUGGUAAAUGUGUAUGUACUGGGUUAUUAGGAUCUGUUGAAAUGUUAGCAGGUAUGUAGACUGUUCGACGUGACCCAAGGCUCUGCAGUGAAGGCCGUACUUUGACCUAUAAUUGUUAACUUUUUACAAAUUGAGAAUUGUAUCACUGGAAAAUUAGCAUUUGUUGAGUGGUAAACAGGUAUGUACUGGAUAAUU
Mytilus californianus (California mussel) is the source of this 607-nucleotide long non-coding RNA. RefSeq lists it as uncharacterized. The record is from RefSeq and is a predicted model, not a curated record. The transcript is spliced from 3 exons. Lineage: Eukaryota; Metazoa; Mollusca; Bivalvia; Mytilida; Mytilidae.